UGGUUCGUGUCUGUGGGCGUACGGUGGAUGCCUGGGCACCAGAUGCUGAUGAAGGACGUGGGAGGCCGCGAUAGGCCUGGGGGAGUUGUCAACCGAACUGUGAUCCCAGGGUGUCCGAAUGGGGGAACCUGGCCGGGGUGAUGCCCGGUCACCGGUGUCUGAAGAGAUUAGGGCAUCGGGAGGCACGGGGGGAACUGAAACAUCUCAGUACCUCCAGGAAGAGAAAACAAGAGUGAUUCCCUGAGUAGUGGUGAGCGAACGGGGAUGAGGCUAAACCGGGUGCGUGGCAAGCCGGCAGGCGUUGCGUGCUCGGGGUUGUGGGAACAUGCCGGAUCCAUGCUGCCGUGUGGGUGCGGGUGCUGUGGCUUCAGCCGAAAGCGUUGGGAGGCGCUGGCGGAGUGGGUGAGACCCCCGUAGGCGAAGAGGUCGUGGUGGCUCGUGGGUGUGUGUCCCGAGUAGCGCGGGGCCCGUGGAAUCUCGUGUGAAUCGGCCAGGACCGCCUGGUAAGCCUAAAUACGUCUGGUGACCGAUAGUGGAUGUGUACCGUGAGGGACUGGUGAAAAGUACCCCGGGAGGGGAGUGAAAGAGUUCCUGAAACCGUGCGCCUGUAAUCCGUCAGAGCAUGCCCGUGUGGUGUGUGAUGGCGUGCCUUUUGAAGAAUGAGCCUGCGAGUUAGUGGUGCGUGGCGAGGUUAACCCGUGUGGGGGAGCCGGAGCGAAAGCGAGUCCGAAGAGGGCGGUGGAGUCGCGUGCUCUAGACCCGAAACCGAGUGAGCUACCCGUGGCCAGGGUGAAGCGCGGGUAAGACCGUGUGGAGGCCCGCACCCACCAGGGUUGAAAACCUGGGGGAUGAGCUGCGGGUAGGGGUGAAAGGCCAAUCAAACUCGGAGAUAGCUGGUUCUCCCCGAAAUGCAUUUAGGUGCAGCGUCACGUGGGUGCUCCGUGCUGGUAGAGCGACUGGAUGGCUGAUGGCCCAGUGUGGGUACUGACGUCAACUAAACUCCGAAUGGUGCGGAUGUGGACCGUGGCAGUGAGUCCCUGGGGGAAAAGCUCCAGGGUCGAGAGGGAAACAGCCCAGAUCACCGGCUAAGGCCCCGAAGUGUGUGCUGAGUGGAAAAGGAUGUGGGAUCGCCGAGACAACCAGGAGGUUGGCUUAGAAGCAGCCAUCCUUGAAAGAGUGCGUAACAGCUCACUGGUCAAGUGAUCCUGCGCCGAUAAUGUAGCGGGGCUUGUAAGCACACCGCCGAAGCCGUGGCGCCGGUCCCUGUGUGGGGCUGGUGGGUAGGGGAGCGUCCUGCACGCCGGUGAAGCAUCCUUGUGAAGGGGUGUGGAGGGUGUGGGAGUGAGAAUGCAGGCAUGAGUAGUGCAUGGACAGUGAGAAUCUGUCCCGCCGAAAGACCAAGGGUUCCAGGGGCAGGUUGAUCCGCCCUGGGUGAGUCGGAUCCUAAGGCGAGGCCGACAGGCGUAGUCGACAGGACAACGGGUUGAUAUUCCCGUACCCGCGUAUCCGCGUCCCAUACCAACCCCCGGGCAACGCAUGAUCAGCCGUGACCGCGGGUGGGAUUCGUCCCAUGCCGGGGUGAUGGUGGUUGUGGUUGGUGGGUGUGUUGGUCAGCGAUGGGGUGACGCAGAAGGGUAGCCCAGCCCGGGCGAUGGUUGUUCCCGGGGUAACGGUGUAGCACGACGGCCCAGGUAAAUCCGGGCGGUCGCGGUGUGAGACCGGAGGCCGAGCCAGUGUGGCGAAGUGGGUGAGCCCAGGCUGCCGAGAAAAGCCUCUAGCGAGGGGAUACGUGGUCCGUACCCGAAACCGACACAGGUGGUCUGGUAGAGCAUACCGAGGCGAGCGGGCGAACCGUGGUUAAGGAAUUCGGCAAAAUGUCCCCGUAACUUCGGGAGAAGGGGAGCCACGGCCGGUGAUCCCCCGGUGCGGGGUGAGCUGGUGGUGGCCGCAGAGAAUGGGCCCAAGCGACUGUUUACUAAAAACACAGGUCCGUGCGAAGUCGUAAGACGCGGUAUACGGACUGACGCCUGCCCGGUGCCGGAACGUUAAGGGGAGCCGUGAACCCACCUGGUGGGUGAGGCGGCGAACCGAAGCGCCGGUAAACGGCGGUGGUAACUAUAACCAUCCUAAGGUAGCGAAAUUCCUUGUCGGGUAAGUUCCGACCUGCACGAAUGGCGUAACGACUUGGGCGCUGUCUCGACCACGGACCCGACGAAAUUGCAUGACGAGUUAAGAUGCUCGUUUCGCGCGGCAGGACGGAAAGACCCCGGGACCUUUACUACAGCUUGGUAUGGGCGUCUGGUUCGGCUUGUGUAGGAUAGGUGGGAAACUGGGAACCUCGCACGCCAGUGCGCAGGGGAGUUGCUGGUGAAAUACCACUCUGGUCGUUCCGGGCGUCUAACCUCGGUCCGUGACCCGGACCAGGGACAGUGCCUGGUGGGUAGUUUAACUGGGGCGGUUGCCUCCUAAAUGGUAACGGAGGCGCCCAACGGUUCCCUCAGCCUGGACGGAAACCAGGCGGCGAGUGCAAGUGCACAAGGGAGCUUGACUGCGAGACUGACGGGUCGAGCAGGUGCGAAAGCAGGGACUAGUGAUCCGGCACCGGCAUGCGGAUGCGGUGUCGCUCAACGGAUAAAAGGUACCCCGGGGAUAACAGGCUGAUCUUGCCCAAGAGUCCAUAUCGACGGCAUGGUUUGGCACCUCGAUGUCGGCUCGUCGCAUCCUGGGGCUGAAGUGGGUCCCAAGGGUUGGGCUGUUCGCCCAUUAAAGCGGCACGCGAGCUGGGUUUAGAACGUCGUGAGACAGUUCGGUCCCUAUCCGCCGCGCGCGUAUGGAGACGUGCGGGGAGCUGUCCCCAGUACGAGAGGACCGGGACGGACGAACCUCUAGUGCGCCAGUUGUCCCGCCAGGGGCACGGCUGGUUGGCCACGUUCGGCAUGGAUAACCGCUGAAAGCAUCUAAGCGGGAAGCCCACCCCAAGAUGACGUCUCCCCCCACCAUGUGGGAUAAGGCCCCCAGCAGAUGACUGGGUCGAUAGGCCCGACAUGCACGCACAGCAAUGUGUUCAGUGGACGGGUACUAACCGGCCGAACGACGAACCCAC
This 3103-nucleotide ribosomal RNA is filed under the name Actinopolyspora biskrensis. Its description in RNAcentral is "23S ribosomal RNA". It matches the Rfam family "Bacterial large subunit ribosomal RNA". The record is from RNAcentral. Lineage: Bacteria; Bacillati; Actinomycetota; Actinomycetes; Actinopolysporales; Actinopolysporaceae.